CGGUCUGGCGGCGAGUGGCGGACGGGUGAGUAAUGUAUCGGAACGUACCCAGUAGCGGGGGAUAACUUCUCGAAAGAGUAGCUAAUACCGCAUACGCCCUACGGGGGAAAGGGGGGGAUCUUAUGACCUCUCACUAUUGGAGCGGCCGAUAUCGGAUUAGCUAGUUGGUGGGGUAAAGGCCUACCAAGGCGUCGAUCCGUAGCUGGUUUGAGAGGACGACCAGCCACACUGGGACUGAGACACGGCCCAGACUCCUACGGGAGGCAGCAGUGGGGAAUUUUGGACAAUGGGGGCAACCCUGAUCCAGCCAUCCCGCGUGUGCGAUGAAGGCCUUCGGGUUGUAAAGCACUUUUGGCAGGAAAGAAAUUGCAUGGGUUAAUACCCUGUGUAGAUGACGGUACCUGCAGAAUAAGCACCGGCUAACUACGUGCCAGCAGCCGCGGUAAUACGUAGGGUGCAAGCGUUAAUCGGAAUUACUGGGCGUAAAGCGUGCGCAGGCGGUUCGGAAAGAAAGAUGUGAAAUCCCAGGGCUUAACCUUGGAACUGCAUUUUUAACUGUCGAACUAGAGUGCGUCAGAGGGGGGUGGAAUUCCGCGUGUAGCAGUGAAAUGCGUAGAUAUGCGGAGGAACACCGAUGGCGAAGGCAGCCCCCUGGGAUGACACUGACGCUCAUGCACGAAAGCGUGGGGAGCAAACAGGA
Molecule: ribosomal RNA, 700 nt
Filed under: uncultured beta proteobacterium
Lineage: Bacteria; Pseudomonadati; Pseudomonadota; Betaproteobacteria
Description: bacterial SSU rRNA
Rfam family: Bacterial small subunit ribosomal RNA
Source: RNAcentral